GUUUACUCAAAAUUUGUUGUUGAUGACAGCGUUAUCAUGCUUAUGUUUACUCAAAAUUUGUUGUUGAUCGACAGCGUUAUCAUGCUUCCUUUAUGGAGGAGGUGCACUCAUGGAUGAUUAUAUCUGCGGGUGACUUUCUGAUACUUAUCAUUAGUAUAAUUGGGCAGCUGUUGUAGCAUGUUCAUCAGCAGUCAUAGGAUUACUUCAUGAUUCAAAGUAUCACCGGUGACGGAUUUGAUACUCACUCUUUACUGGCAUCGUACUCACGGUUUCUGGUUGUAUCACAUGUUGAGCGGAGCAAGACUGACUCUGUAUGUUGAGCUUUUACAUUGACCCGAGAUUGUCAAAGAUAAAAGAACACAAGGUUCAGCUAUAUUCGUACAAGCUUGAUCCUCAAAACUGUUUCAAUCGCAUGGAAAAAUCCCCGUAGAAAUCUAAGGCUACAAACAUUGGGGAUCUGCAGGCUAAAAAAAAAAAAAAAAACCCAAAGGAAUUGCGUAGAGAGUAAUUUUGAACAAUAUUUCCAUGUAAAUUCUAUUAACACAGACAACUAGAGUGAGGGUGAUGAGAGGAUGUUAGUAGAGUUACGUUUUGAAGCAAACAAUCAUUGUUUAAUCAACCGGGGGCGAAGGCGUUUUUUCUUCUCCGACUUUUAGCGAGGGUUUUUAAUCCGUCGCUUUAAAUAUAUUUAGUAACGGUUAGCGA
Molecule: long non-coding RNA, 705 nt
Organism: Pyrus x bretschneideri (Chinese white pear)
Lineage: Eukaryota; Viridiplantae; Streptophyta; Magnoliopsida; Rosales; Rosaceae
Exons: 4
Source: RefSeq, a predicted model, not a curated record